This 4902-nucleotide long non-coding RNA is filed under the name Sus scrofa (pig). RNAcentral's name for it is "lncRNA (ENSSSCG00000062307.1)". The record is from RNAcentral. Lineage: Eukaryota; Metazoa; Chordata; Mammalia; Artiodactyla; Suidae.
AGAGGUUCAUGGUGACCUGCUGGCAUUCUUGAGCACCUGCUAUGUGCCAGGCAUUUUGUUUCCCCCUUCAUUUUAUCCUCCCAAAUCUGCCAGGUUGGGGAUAAUAACAACCCAUUUUUCAGUUAGAGACACUGAGGCUCAAAGGUCAUGUAGAUUGGGAAUUGAGACCACAAACUACCUCCUAAACCUCUCUGCUGCUUCAGCUAUGCCUCCUAGAGGCGUGGGGCCCUUGUCCCAUCUUCCUGCUCUUACUGCCCAGAAACCUGACUGGCAGUGCCGGGGCGGAAUCUGGAGGAUUAGGGCUGGAGGGCAGCAGAACCACAGUUCUGCCCUCUGACAGUCAGCCUUUACCCAGCACCAACUGUGCACAAGCCCUGGAGCAAAAUAGUGUGAAUGUGACCCCAAGAGAAAAAAAUGCCCUUGUGGAAGACACAGUCCAGUGACAGUGGCUCCAGGUGGGGAGAAUGCAGGGCCGGCUGCCUGGUCAUGCAAUCUGGGGUUUAAGAAGCCGAAUGAUAGGGGCUGAGGUCCUGUCCAAGCAGGGAAUGGGAGGGGGGGGAAGAUCACAUUACUGGGGAGUUGAGAAAGUGUUACGAAAGAGGUAAGACUUGAAAUAGUCUUAGGGAAGGAUAAGAAUUCCCCAGGCAGUCAGAGAGGGGUUUCUGAUGCGAGAGCAACAGGUGCAAAGGCUCGAGGGAACCACGCAUUUUGCCAGACGGCCCGCACUUCUGUUUCUCCGGAAAGCAGGGUGUGGCAGAGGGGCCAUCUGGUUGCGCCAGGUGUGUCUUAGAGCAGGUAGGUCUCAGGUCUUUGUACCAAGCGAAGCAGAGUGAGUUUUACCCUACCAACAUUUUAAAGAUGUAUCUUCCUUACAAUCUCUGUAUAUAGAAAAGACAGCAGCAAAGCUGGGUAGAAGCAGGAAGCAGAAGUAGAACAAGGCCCCAUCCUGACCAGGAGUCGGCACAUUUUUUCUGCAAACAGCCAGAUGGGAAAUGUUUGCAGCUGGCUCUGUGGCAGCUCCUCAGCUCUGCUUCUGGAGUGAGAAACCAGCCCUGGAUAUGUCAAUGAAUGGGCAUGGUAUAGAUAAUAUUUUAUUUCAGACACAAGUUUGACCUUCAUGUACUUUUCAUGUGUCACAAAAUAUUAUCUUUUGGAUUUAAAAAAAAACAACCCUCAAACAUGGGAGUUUCCUGAUGGCUCAGCAGGUUAAGGAUCCAGUAUUGUCACUGCUGUCACUCUGGUUACUGCUGUAGCACGGGUUGUGUUUUAUCCCUGGUCUGGAAACUUCUGCAUGUCAUGGACACAGUCAAAAAGUCUAAAACAACAACAACAAACAACUCCUCCCCCCAAGAAACCCACUUAACUUGUUAAAACCAUUCUGGCUCUUGGGCUGUACAAAAACAGGCAGUGAGGGGAUCUGGCCCCAGGACUAUGGUUUGCUGACUCUUGCUCUGCGCCCCCACUGGGUGGUCCGUGAAGGAGGGUUACAGCACAGGGCUGCAGCUUCAAGCCAGGGAGUGAGGGAUGGGACCUCAGUUUCAAGAUAUCCCAGAGACAGCAAAGUCCAUGUUCUCACUUGUAACAGUCAGGGCCACUUUGGGAAUCUCAUGAAAAACAGGAGGACUGGACCCAAGCUUGAUGGGGCCCCUGCGACAUCUCUAAGGGACCACAAGGGGUGCACUCCCAUGAUGAAAAAAGUACCAGAAGGAGGGGGAGAAAGUGUGAAUGAGAAAACCGUUAUACAUGAACCUGUUUCAAAACCAGAAAUGACACACUGGCUGCCCUUUGCCUGGAUGGAGAGGAAAAGAAGCCCACUCGAGGACCACGGAUGCUGCCCAUAGUCAGAGGGCAAGGUGGAGGCGGGGUGGGGUGGGCGAAUCUUGGCUGGAGAUCCAGCACCUGUAAAGUGGUCUCUUCCUUGGGUAACUGAUGCAUUUGGGAGAGUGAGGACACGGUUCCUUGGGAGAGGGGACUGGGCUAGAUCUUUAAAGGGUCUCUACGGCUCCCUGCUGUGCGGGUUCCGGAGUGGAAUUUUGCGUGUGGAUGUUCGUGCUCUUAGCCCUGCUGUGUGUAGGGCCACAGGGUCUUCUCACAGUGCCAUGGCCCCUGUCAGGGUAGAAACAGCCCGUGGUGCCUCCAGUGCCAUAGUUCCAGGGGUGACCUUCAGCCGAAAGAGGUUAUUUCUUGAGCCUUCACGGCCACUCCCAGUGCCCUGUGGGUGGCUGUCUCCUUUAUAAUUGGCUGGGAACCCAUGCACAGAAAGCAUCUUAACAUGUACCCGAGACUUUAGCAAAUAACAAUAGAGACUCUGUCUCUCCCCCCCCCCCCCCCCCCGCAUGGAGGGUAUACAUGGCUAAUCUGCCCAGCCUGGGCCAGUUCCACCCAGUGGGCACAGCCAGUGGAGACUCGCAAAGACAGUAGGAGGGGAGUUUGCUGUUUCAGACUUGACCUCAGGCCAAGGAGGCUAAUCUCAUCUGCCUGCAGUAGCCCCUGACUCAAGCUGUCUACUUCUGGCCAGCGACAAGGCUCAGCCACGUGCCCGUGCAGCCCAGAGGGUCCAGCCUCGAGGGCCACGUGGGGAGCUGCCGCAUUGUGAGAUCUCGCGGGACUUUGUCGUGGGACGCGAGAGCCGGAAGUAAUGGUUACUCUGCUGACCCAGUGUUGGGAGCCGAGCAGGAGCUGGACGGGAAGGCAUGGGGAGUGGGGAGUUUCUUUCUGCCUCCUCCCCCCUCACCUCCCCCCUGCAGAUCUUCAUAAUCACUUCUCUUUUUCUUCUUGUUCCCUGCACACUCUUUCUUGGGUCAUAACCUUAAAGUUAAUUUCAGAUAAUGGUCCCCAGCCAGCCGGCCAGCAUGUGCGUCAAACACCGGGCAGGGUCCAGCAUGUGGACAUAGCGGUGGGCAGCAGAGCUCUCGGCACCACCCUCGUGGAGUGUCAAAGUUUGGGGGAGCAGAACAGGUGCAGGAAAAGCCAAGGUGGCUGGGAGUGGAGGGAAGGGGUGGAGCAUCACUGGUGGGAGGAGCUUGUCGGCUCCCUUCAUGCUGCAUCCGUAUUGGCCAGGAUGCUCCUUUCUGGCAACUCCGCUCCUUGCAGGUUAUGCUCUUGAAGUGGACCCAUUUAGGAGGUGGCUUUCCUUGCAGUUGUUUUCAUGGGUCCACUUUGAUCUAUGGAAUCAUCCCACUCUAAGGCCCCGUCAUGGAAAUGGCAUUUCAUCUGUAGAUUCUGCAGAGAGGGCAGUAGUCUUUGUUUGUUUGUUUGGUCUUUUUUGGCCACACCUGUGGCAUAUGGAAGUUUCCAGGCCAGGGAUCAAAUCCCAGCCACAGCUGACACCUAUGCCACAACCACGGCAAUCCUGGAUCCUUAACCCACUGUGCCACAGCGGGAGCUCCAAGAGGGCAACGGUCUUUAACCUUCUAUGUUAGUGGAAUUCAGAUCUGCUAAGAUGAGGUGACUCCUUCUUGCCUUUGCAGCCAAUGUGUUGGCUGUGGCACUUUUUUCAGAUGCUGCAAGAUGACCCACAUCGGUGUCAGGCUUCAGAGAGACAAAAUGGAACCACAGAGGAUUGCUUUCCGAGGCGUGUCAACCUAAAAGGGAGGUUUCCACCCUGGGGACGUGGCCAGUGUAAUUAAAGCUGGGCUUUGCUGGCCACGCCAAGGACUAGGUAGAGAAUCAAUUAAGUCCGGUCCUUGCUAAAGGCACACAAGUUUCUCACCUUAACUUUGACAUUGAUGACCUGAAAUAAUUGUGUAACUUAGGGCUUCUGCAUGCUCUCACAGGCUCUGUCUUAUGGCUUUCUCAUCAUAAAGAAGGCUGUGCUAAAGGGGGGCUCAGCCUCAGCGUGGAGUGGAGUCUGGCCCUGCUGGUGCGAGCAGACCCAGCUGUCCGUGGGGGAGCGUCUAGGGAAUGACCUGACCGCAUGGUUCUGGUCACUGAGCUCAUGAAACAUCAGCCACUCUCCCUGUACCAGGCACACCGGGAUUUCUCCCGAAAUGCCACCCGGCGCUCUCUCGCUGCUCUGUGCGGUGAAUCCCCACCCUCCUUUGAAAUAGAUGCCAGCAACUACCAUCGCCGAAACCUGGGCUCAGCACUUUGCAUCCCUUUGCUCAUUUCAUCCUUCCAACCACCUUCCACAGUAGGUAAGACGCUUCUUAUUUCACAGAUGAAGAAAUAAGGCCAGCAGUCUUGGUCUCCGGGUGGGGAGGGAACAGAGGCUCUUUCUUUUCUGGAGAAGAUUUGCUGAUGUGGGCGAAUCCAGUCCCCACAUCCCACCCUCCCAGAGGUGCACACUGGCUGGUCACUAGUGAGUGGACAUCCUUCUUAGCCAGAGGAGGUUAAGGGCCGCCAGCAGGAAGCAGGCAUAAGGCUCUGGGCUCUCAGGCACAGCUGUGCCAUGCUGCUGCCUAACUUCCGGGGUGUGGGUCACCCUCCCUCGGGCACCCAGCAUCCCAGGAUCCUGCUGCGCUCUCUUGUCAUGAGUCCAUGAGUCUGGUGGGCAGGGUACUAAGCCAGUGGCUCCUUGGGAAGUCUGCAGAGAAGCGCCAAAGAGACAAAAGGAACAGAACUCCGCGAGUCCGGUAAAAGAAAAUGUUCACCAGGUUGAUACAAGAUGCUCCAUCUUCAAGGCCGUCCAUGUAGCCCACAGUCUAAUUAUUGGCCACUGGAGAUAUCAUCGUAGAAGGUUUUCCUGUGGAAGUGUUUUAUAACGCAUCUAUAAAUCCAGAGACUGAAGAUCAGCCAACCUACAUCUGCUCACCCCGCCCCCCCCGUAACACAUACAAGCUGUUCUUACCUCGUUAUAUCUUAAGCUUCUUUUCUCAGUGAAUCUGAGAUGUAAUUCAUUACACACUUGGACUUUAUGGUGUGUUUAUGCUGAUUCGGAUUACAGAAUAAAUGACUACCUGC